This 74-nucleotide transfer RNA is filed under the name Pseudomonadota bacterium. RNAcentral describes it as "Proteobacteria bacterium (activated sludge metagenome) tRNA-Gln". It matches the Rfam family "tRNA". Rfam says of the family: Transfer RNA (tRNA) molecules are approximately 80 nucleotides in length. Their secondary structure includes four short double-helical elements and three loops (D, anti-codon, and T loops). The record is from RNAcentral. Lineage: Bacteria; Pseudomonadati; Pseudomonadota.
AAUCUGUUCGUAUAAUGGUAUAAUUACGCUCGACUUUGAAUCGGGAAACGAAGGUUCGAUUCCUUCACAGAUUG